Long non-coding RNA from Trichomycterus rosablanca, 686 nucleotides. RefSeq lists it as uncharacterized. The transcript is spliced from 4 exons. NCBI's taxonomy places the organism in Eukaryota, Metazoa, Chordata, Actinopteri, Siluriformes, Trichomycteridae. The record is from RefSeq and is a predicted model, not a curated record.
GUAUAAAUGAUUCAGAAACUGUCUAAAUAGCAGUAAAUCCGCACAUACGUUUUAUAUAUUCUAACAUUUAAAACAACUCGCUUCAAAUAAUUACGAAUAAUUUUGUUUUUGGAACGAAAUUACCACAGAUUUACAUUCUUUAUAAGCUCAAAGCUCGACGGUUGACUUCAGCUCUGUGAAGCUGACGGAACAGGAUUGUAACGAAGAUCUUCAGAAACCUGUACAAACCUUAAAUGAUGGCUAGAAUUCGCUGGAGAACCGGGUUGCCAGAUCCCUCCUAACCACCCAUCGUCCUCAAGUAAAUCCAGGAACUGCUUUAUCCUGAUAAGGGUCACAGUGGGGCAGGAGCCUUCCCAGGUAUACCAGGUGCAAUUCUAGACACAUCUAUUCAUUUAAUCACCCCUGGGUGCAGUGUAGAGUAACCGACAAACCUACUGGCAUGAUCACAAACUAUACAGACACUGAGAGAAGGUCUCAAAUUAAUCACAGUGUCCGUACUAGAACUGUCAGCUCAGAAAAAUAUUUAUAUUCCAGGUUUAUAAUAAGAGCUGAUACUCUAAAGAAACUUAACACAAAGGCAAGGAUCAAACCCCAGGCCCCAAGGAACUGUGCUGCACCCACACUACCUGUUGUGUACAAAACUGCAUGUUUGUUGUUUACUUUUUAUUAGCUGCAGCUUAAACAAA